GACGAACGCUGGCGGCGUGCUUAACACAUGCAAGUCGAACGGAGCUUAAUGAUGAAGCUUGCGAUUCAUUAAGUUUAGUGGCGGACGGGUGAGUAACGCGUGGGCAACCUACCCAUAAGCGGGGGACAACAGUUGGAAACGGCUGCUAAUACCGGAUGUGAGCAACUUUUAGUUGUUUGAAAGGUGGCGUAAGCUGUCGCUUGGGGAUGAGCCUGCGUCCUAUUAGUUAGUUGGUGAGGUAACGGCUCACCUAGGCAAUGAUAGGUAGGCGGCCUUAACGGGUGGUCGCCCACACUGGGAUUGAGAUACGGCCCAGACUCCUACGGGAGGCAGCAGUGGGGAAUAUUGCACAAUGGGCGAAAGCCUGAUGCAGCAACGCCGCGUGAGCGAAGAAGGCCUUUGGGUCGUAAAGCUCUGUCGGGAAGGAAGAUAAUGACGGUACUUCCCGAGGAAGCCCCGGUAACUACGUG
RNAcentral lists this ribosomal RNA (470 nucleotides) under uncultured bacterium. Its description in RNAcentral is "bacterial SSU rRNA". It matches the Rfam family "Bacterial small subunit ribosomal RNA", at positions 28 to 507 of the family's 1533-position model. The record is from RNAcentral.